GAUCUACUCCUUCCCUUCCAAAAUACUUGACUUCCAUUUGUCCAAAAAUGAAUGUACCUAUAUACUAAAACAUGUCUAGAUACAUCUAUAUUUUGACAAAAGAAAGGCAUGUAUUGUGGAACGGAGGGAGUAAGCA
This is a non-coding RNA of Triticum aestivum (bread wheat), 136 nucleotides long. NCBI's taxonomy places the organism in Eukaryota, Viridiplantae, Streptophyta, Magnoliopsida, Poales, Poaceae. The record is from Rfam.